Molecule: ribosomal RNA, 445 nt
Filed under: uncultured bacterium
Lineage: Bacteria
Description: partial 16S ribosomal RNA
Rfam family: Bacterial small subunit ribosomal RNA
Source: RNAcentral
GUAAGGAAUAUUGGACAAUGGACGCAAGUCUGAUCCAGCCAUGCCGCGUGAAGGAUUAAGGUCCUCUGGAUUGUAAACUUCUUUUAUAAGGGACGAAAAAAGGCUUUUCUAAGUCGUCUGACGGUACCUUAUGAAUAAGCACCGGCUAACUCCGUGCCAGCAGCCGCGGUAAUACGGAGGGUGCAAGCGUUAUCCGGAUUCACUGGGUUUAAAGGGUGCGUAGGCGGGCAGGUAAGUCAGUGGUGAAAUACUAGAGCUUAACUCUAGAACUGCCAUUGAUACUAUCUGUCUUGAAUAUUGUGGAGGUAAGCGGAAUAUGUCAUGUAGCGGUGAAAUGCUUAGAUAUGACAUAGAACACCUAUUGCGAAGGCAGCUUACUACGCAUAUAUUGACGCUGAGGCACGAAAGCGUGGGGAUCAAACAGGAUUAGAAACCCCGGUAGUCC